Acinonyx jubatus (cheetah) is the source of this 1854-nucleotide long non-coding RNA. RefSeq lists it as uncharacterized. The record is from RefSeq and is a predicted model, not a curated record. Lineage: Eukaryota; Metazoa; Chordata; Mammalia; Carnivora; Felidae. The transcript has 3 exons.
GAGAGCAUGAAUAGGGGAAGGACAGAGAAAUUGAGGAGACAGAAGAUCUGAAGCUGGCUCUGUGCUGAUAAGUGGCUAGUACUAUGUGGGGCUUGAACUCACUAACUGUGAGAUCAUGACCUGAGCCAAAGUCUGGCACUCAGUUGAUUGAGCCAUCCAGGCGCCCUAACCUAGCCUUGAGUAUUUUAACUCAACCAGCCAUUCAGCAGUGCUCAAAAUAUUUUUCUCUCCCUAAUCAGCUCUGUCUCCCAUUUUGCGCGCACGCGCGUGUAUGCGUGUGUGUGUGUGUGUGUGUGUGUGUGUGAGAGAGAGAGAGAGAGAGAGAGAGAGAGAGAGAGAGACCUAGCACUUAGUCAUCAGGUGCUUAGAAAGGUAAGCCUGUUUUCACUAGAAUUUAGCUACCGAGUUUCCAUUUGACAGUUUCCAGACCAUUUGUUUCUAUGUUGGUGAUAUCAACACAUUGAAGGAAUUAUUAUUUUCACUUGGAAAAAACUCUCAAGUUUCAUUUCAGUAUUGAGAUGAGCCCAGGUUUUGGAGGAAAAGGUACCAGAUCAUUUUUUUCCUGAUGACUAGGGACUAUCCCCUCCUUAUACCUUGGUGUGUGGAGCUCAAAGGCUGCUGGGAAAGAGGGUAGGUGAGUUUUCACAAUAAACCAAGAGGACUGUGGGAAGAAAAGGAUUAAGACCUUGACACAAUUUUUUGAGGGAGGUGGGGGUGGUGGAGACUGAAUGUUGGAAUAUUCUGAGCACAGUAAACCCUUAGAGACCAGCAGAUGGGAAAGGCCACCCAGCAAAAUCACCUAGACCCAAAGAGAAACUAACUAUGAAAUCAGGGCUUAGGUUAUCCUACAAAAGAGCUAGUUGUGGGCAUGACGUGAAGUCGGUAGAGAGACACCCUCUGCCCACUCAACCCUGGAACUUUGGUCUAAGCUUAUGCAUGUAUUCCACACCACAGAUCAGAGAACACACGAUUCGAUCUGCCAGUGAAGCAGAUUGAAUGUUAAGACUUGUAAGGGAGCUUUUAGAAGAAAUUGCUCUCUUGCUGGUGGUGGUGAGAUACCGUGAGCCUGAAGGUAAAAAGGUACGUGAUCAGCCAGCCAGCCUUGUGGAAGCAGAACUGAGAAAUGUUUUCUACCGUUCUUUCAUCCCUUUCCUGGUUCCUUCUCAAAUAUCAUUUGCCCAGGGCAUCUGUAGACUUGAUGGAAAAGGAAUUCUCAGUACGAGUGACCAUGUAAGUGUGUUUGGUGUGGCUCCAGUAACUCAUGAGCCGCAUCUGUUUCAGGGAAUAAGGUUUCAUUCAUAGGUCACUUUUUGUAGUUCCAUUUUGAUCUUAUUCACAUCUUCUUAUAUGUUUUGUUUGAUGAAAACUGUGCCCAAGCCAGUGGAGACUUAAAACUGAUGUUGUUCAGACCUGGUUCUACUGACUUGUCUCUCCCAAUAGUGCUGUACACGGUUGGUUGGCUACCACCGUUUAGUGGCAGUGAUGAUGGCCUUGGUAGUGGUGGCUAUAGGUUUCUUGUGGAGACCGGAAGCAGAGAGUUGGAAAUGCAUUAUUGGGUGACGCUUUAUUUUUAAAAGUAGCUGAAAUACGUUUUUGUUUUCAAGGUGCCUGAGACCAAAAGAAAUGUCCCUAGCAUCAAAUCCCAUAUACAUGCAAAGAAAUCCUGUUAAUGCUUUUUGGACACAGCAGGAUUUAAGGGGAUGUGGAUGCCUGGACAAUGAAACCAAAGAUGGAAGUCUGCCCUCUGAAAUGGCCUAUGAAAGAAUGACACUCCAGUAGUGAUGACCACAUCUAAUUCCUACCAGAAGGAACUAGGACUUCUUGGAGAAAUAGGCGAUCGUCAGUCUGGAGCAG